GUGGGGAAUCUUAGACAAUGGGGGCAACCCUGAUCUAGCCAUGCCGCGUGAGUGAUGAAGGCCUUAGGGUCGUAAAGCUCUUUCGCCGGGGAAGAUAAUGACGGUACCCGGUAAAGAAACCCCGGCUAACUCCGUGCCAGCAGCCGCGGUAAUACGGAGGGGGUUAGCGUUGUUCGGAAUUACUGGGCGUAAAGCGCGCGUAGGCGGAUCGGAAAGUUGGGGGUGAAAUCCCGGGGCUCAACCCCGGAAUUGCCUUCAAAACUCCCGGUCUUGAGGUCGAGAGAGGUGAGUGGAAUUCCGAGUGUAGAGGUGAAAUUCGUAGAUAUUCGGAGGAACACCAGUGGCGAAGGCGGCUCACUGGCUCGAUACUGACGCUGAGGUGCGAAAGCGUGGGGAGCAAACAGGAUUAGAUACCCGAGUAGUCC
Molecule: ribosomal RNA, 425 nt
Filed under: uncultured bacterium
Lineage: Bacteria
Description: partial 16S ribosomal RNA
Rfam family: Bacterial small subunit ribosomal RNA
Source: RNAcentral